AGUCGGCAGCAGCGACGCUCACAGCCGGGCCUGCAUCCUGUGUGCACACCAUCUCGACAUCUUAUACCUGCCACUCAGCAACUGCUGCAGUGAAGUUUGCAUUUUGUGGCUGCUGUGGGGAGAGAGGCCAUCAGGGAGCUCCACUGUCGGUGUGCUGCAAACCGGCAGCCCGAGGCUCAGGGAGCGUGUGGGAUAAAAGGAUGAGAGGGAAGAUCAAAGCGGAAAGCAUGAAAAAGCUCAAAGCACACAAGCAAGAGGCACCUCCCUGACCUCUUCGUACACACACACACACACACUCUCUUUACCCCGUCUACGCAGCACGGCCUGGCGCCUGCCCCUAUGCUUUUCCCUGCAGCUGCAGAGAAAGGCAAAGAGUAGAGGGCACAUCAUUCAGGCCGUGUGAGCCUCUCUGAUUAUAGUCUGUAACUGCUGGGAACCUGACCUCAACUGAUGCCCCCUACUGGUUCCAGACGUGCAGCACCCACCUGUUUAAUGUCACUCAUCAAACUUGAAGGCACUGGAUGAAAAAUGUGUCAUAUAAAAUUUGAAUCGACGUUUACGAU
This is a long non-coding RNA of Cyprinodon tularosa, 563 nucleotides long. RefSeq lists it as uncharacterized. Lineage: Eukaryota; Metazoa; Chordata; Actinopteri; Cyprinodontiformes; Cyprinodontidae. The transcript has 3 exons. The record is from RefSeq and is a predicted model, not a curated record.